CCUCUCCUACAAAGGUGUGUCUGUGGUUCCCUAUCUUUGGACAUGUAAGCAUUGAAAGCAAAGAAACAUGGACUUCAAGAAGUCUGGAGCCAGCUUGCUCCCUGCAGGCUCAAGACCAACCAUCACACAUAG
This is a small nucleolar RNA of Propithecus coquereli (Coquerel's sifaka), 132 nucleotides long. The record is from Ensembl. NCBI's taxonomy places the organism in Eukaryota, Metazoa, Chordata, Mammalia, Primates, Indriidae.